UUAGUGACUAAUGAGUGUGAGUAAAUGACUUGUUUCUACAAAGGAUUCUAGGUGCUUACAUCAUUCAUCUUGUCUGGCAUGAAGGAGUCUUUAGCCCCAGGGAACGGGUAAGAUAGCAUCCUGAUGAUUAACUUUCUUUAAACUUGGUUUUAUCAGUAACGUCAUUGUUACUGAUUGUUACUCACCUACAGGUGAGGAGUAGAUUACAUAUGCAACAGAUCUUUCUUUUUUAGACAAUUCAUGGCAGCCAGGAGAGAAAUAAAGCUGUAUCUUUAUUAAAUAUGUAAAUUAUUCCUCCACUCAUACUGGCUUAGCUCCUCUUCCUCUUCCUUUUAAUGAGAGCAGUUUAAAUUAGAGCUGCUUGGCGUAUGGCAGCCAGGCCUGGGAUGAGUGUUUUGUCUCGGGGGAUGGAGAGGGAUCAUUAAAAGUUAUCUAUGUAUUUUUUAUCUUUGACCCUACUGUCUUAAGAUAAUCUUAAAAAGAGAAGUUGACUGUAAAUAUUGUUUAGCCCCACCCCAUCCUUGCAAAAGAAAUCAAAAAAUAAAACACAGAUCCCAAAUAAGUAUUUUUAAGAGACUUGGACAAACAUAUGCUUUCUGCUCCUAUGC
RNAcentral lists this long non-coding RNA (608 nucleotides) under Homo sapiens (human). RNAcentral's name for it is "non-protein coding lnc-IFT81-1:1". The record is from RNAcentral. Lineage: Eukaryota; Metazoa; Chordata; Mammalia; Primates; Hominidae.